RNAcentral lists this ribosomal RNA (468 nucleotides) under uncultured bacterium. RNAcentral describes it as "partial 16S ribosomal RNA". It matches the Rfam family "Bacterial small subunit ribosomal RNA", at positions 28 to 507 of the family's 1533-position model. The record is from RNAcentral.
GACGAACGCUGGCGGCGUGCUUAACACAUGCAAGUCGAAUGGAAAGGCCCUGCUUUUGUGGUGUGCUCGAGUGGCGAACGGGUGAGUAACACGUGAGUAACCUGCCCUUGACUUUGGGAUAACUUCAGGAAACUGGGGCUAAUACCGGAUAGGAGCUCCUGCUGCAUGGUGGGGGUUGGAAAGUUUCGGCGGUCGGGGAUGGACUCGCGGCUUAUCAGCUUGUUGGUUGGCUAGUGGCUUACCAAGGCUUUGACGGGUAGCCGGCCUGAGAGGGUGGCCGGGCACCAUGGGACUGAGAGACGGCCCAGACGCGUACGGGAGGCAGCAGUGGGGAAUAUUGCACAAUGGGCGGAAGCCUGAUGCGGCAACGCCGCGGGCGGAAAGACGGCCUUCGGGUAGAAAACCGCAGUCGCCUGUGACGAAGCGGGAGUGACGGUAAUGGGUAAAGAAGCACCGGCUAACUACGUG